UUAAGCGACUAAGCGUACACGGUGGAUGCCCUGGCAGUCAGAGGCGAUGAAGGACGUGCUAAUCUGCGAAAAGCGCCGGCGAGGUGAUAUGAACCUUUGACCCGGCGAUGUCCGAAUGGGGAAACCCAGUGUGAUUCGUCACACUAUCGUUAACUGAAUACAUAGGUUAACGAGGCGAACCGGGGGAACUGAAACAUCUAAGUACCCCGAGGAAAAGAAAUCAACCGAGAUUCCCCCAGUAGCGGCGAGCGAACGGGGAGCAGCCCGGAGUCUGAAUCAGCUUGUGUGUUAGUGGAACGGUCUGGAAAGUCCGACGGUACAGGGUGAUAGUCCCGUACACGAAAAUGCACAGGUUGUGAACUCGAAGAGUAGGGCGGGACACGUGGUAUCCUGUCUGAAUAUGGGGGGACCAUCCUCCAAGGCUAAAUACUCCUGACUGACCGAUAGUGAACCAGUACCGUGAGGGAAAGGCGAAAAGAACCCCGGCGAGGGGAGUGAAAAAGAACCUGAAACCGUGUACGUACAAGCAGUGGGAGCCUCUUUAUGGGGUGACUGCGUACCUUUUGUAUAAUGGGUCAGCGACUUAUAUUCUGUAGCAAGGUUAACCGUAUAGGGGAGCCGAAGGGAAACCGAGUCUUAACUGGGCGUUAAGUUGCAGGGUAUAGACCCGAAACCCGGUGAUCUAGCCAUGGGCAGGUUGAAGGUUGGGUAACACUAACUGGAGGACCGAACCGACUAAUGUUGAAAAAUUAGCGGAUGACCUGUGGCUGGGGGUGAAAGGCCAAUCAAACCGGGAGAUAGCUGGUUCUCCCCGAAAGCUAUUUAGGUAGCGCCUCGUGAACUCAUCUUCGGGGGUAGAGCACUGUUUCGGCUAGGGGGCCAUCCCGGCUUACCAACCCGAUGCAAACUACGAAUACCGAAGAAUGUUAUCACGGGAGACACACGGCGGGUGCUAACGUCCGUCGUGAAGAGGGAAACAACCCAGACCGCCAGCUAAGGUCCCAAAGUCAUGGUUAAGUGGGAAACGAUGUGGGAAGGCACAGACAGCCAGGAUGUUGGCUUAGAAGCAGCCAUCAUUUAAAGAAAGCGUAAUAGCUCACUGGUCGAGUCGGCCUGCGCGGAAGAUGUAACGGGGCUAAACCAUGCACCGAAGCUGCGGCAGCGACACUAUGUGUUGUUGGGUAGGGGAGCGUUCUGUAAGCCGUUGAAGGUGGCCUGUGAGGGUUGCUGGAGGUAUCAGAAGUGCGAAUGCUGACAUAAGUAACGAUAAAGCGGGUGAAAAGCCCGCUCGCCGGAAGACCAAGGGUUCCUGUCCAACGUUAAUCGGGGCAGGGUGAGUCGACCCCUAAGGCGAGGCCGAAAGGCGUAGUCGAUGGGAAACAGGUUAAUAUUCCUGUACUUGGUGUUACUGCGAAGGGGGGACGGAGAAGGCUAUGUUAGCCGGGCGACGGUUGUCCCGGUUUAAGCAUGUAGGCGGAGGUUCCAGGUAAAUCCGGUACCUUUUAACGCUGAGGUGUGAUGACGAGGCACUACGGUGCUGAAGUAACAAAUGCCCUGCUUCCAGGAAAAGCCUCUAAGCAUCAGGUAACAUCAAAUCGUACCCCAAACCGACACAGGUGGUCAGGUAGAGAAUACCAAGGCGCUUGAGAGAACUCGGGUGAAGGAACUAGGCAAAAUGGUGCCGUAACUUCGGGAGAAGGCACGCUGAUAUGUAGGUGAAGCCCCUGCGGGUGGAGCUGAAAUCAGUCGAAGAUACCAGCUGGCUGCAACUGUUUAUUAAAAACACAGCACUGUGCAAACACGAAAGUGGACGUAUACGGUGUGACGCCUGCCCGGUGCCGGAAGGUUAAUUGAUGGGGUUAGCGGUAACGCGAAGCUCUUGAUCGAAGCCCCGGUAAACGGCGGCCGUAACUAUAACGGUCCUAAGGUAGCGAAAUUCCUUGUCGGGUAAGUUCCGACCUGCACGAAUGGCGUAAUGAUGGCCAGGCUGUCUCCACCCGAGACUCAGUGAAAUUGAACUCGCUGUGAAGAUGCAGUGUACCCGCGGCAAGACGGAAAGACCCCGUGAACCUUUACUAUAGCUUGACACUGAACACUGGUCCUUGAUGUGUAGGAUAGGUGGGAGGCUUUGAAGCGUGGACGCCAGUCUGCGUGGAGCCAACCUUGAAAUACCACCCUUUAAUGGCUGGUGUUCUAACGUAGACCCGUGAUCCGGGUUGCGGACAGUGUCUGGUGGGUAGUUUGACUGGGGCGGUCUCCUCCCAAAGAGUAACGGAGGAGCACGAAGGUUAGCUAAUCCUGGUCGGACAUCAGGAGGUUAGUGCAAUGGCAUAAGCUAGCUUGACUGCGAGAGUGACGGCUCGAGCAGGUGCGAAAGCAGGUCAUAGUGAUCCGGUGGUUCUGAAUGGAAGGGCCAUCGCUCAACGGAUAAAAGGUACUCCGGGGAUAACAGGCUGAUACCGCCCAAGAGUUCAUAUCGACGGCGGUGUUUGGCACCUCGAUGUCGGCUCAUCACAUCCUGGGGCUGAAGUAGGUCCCAAGG
RNAcentral lists this ribosomal RNA (2542 nucleotides) under human gut metagenome. Its description in RNAcentral is "bacterial LSU rRNA". It matches the Rfam family "Bacterial large subunit ribosomal RNA", at positions 1 to 2570 of the family's 2925-position model. The record is from RNAcentral.